GAUGAACGCUGGCGGCGUGCCUAAUACAUGCAAGUCGAGCGAACGGACGAGAAGCUUGCUUCUCUGAUGUUAGCGGCGGACGGGUGAGUAACACGUGGAUAACCUACCUAUAAGACUGGGAUAACUUCGGGAAACCGGAUCUAAUACCGGAUGAUAUUUUGAACCGCAUGGUUCAAAAGUGAAAGACGGUCUUGCUGUCACUUAUAGAUGGAUCCGCGCUGCAUUAGCUAGUUGGUAAGGUAACGGCUUACCAAGGCAACGAUGCAUAGCCGACCUGAGAGGGUGAUCAGCCACACUGGAACUGAGACACGGUCCAGACUCCUACGGGAGGCAGCAGUAGGGAAUCUUCCGCAAAGGGCGAAAGCCUGACGGAGCAACGCCGCGUGAGUGAUGAAGGUCUUCGGAUCGUAAAACUCUGUUAUUAGGGAAGAACAUAUGUGUAAGUAACUGUGCACAUCUUGACGGUACCUAAUCAGAAAGCCACGGCUAACUACGUG
Molecule: ribosomal RNA, 497 nt
Filed under: uncultured bacterium
Lineage: Bacteria
Description: partial 16S ribosomal RNA
Rfam family: Bacterial small subunit ribosomal RNA
Source: RNAcentral